CUAAGGAUGUACUUUAAAAUUUAAAAUUCUAUGGGAAGUUUUUCUCGUGCCUUUAUAGCUCCUUCAAAACACUUACCUCCUUUUGCUUUUAGCUUCUUGUUCAGAUUUAUUGCGGAAAUUAAUGGGUAUUAUGUCAAAGUUUUUUGGGCUCUCUUUCUGGCUGAUCUUGAUGAUCCUUGCCUUGCAUGAACAACCAAGAGCGUUAGAAGCCAGGCCAUCACUGGUAGUACUCGGAGAUCAUGAUCAUGGUCACCAAGGGUAUAACUCAAAAAUGUUUGUGGCGACUCUUGGGAUUGUGUGCAAGUGUUGUGAUGGUAUAAAAGGUGAUUGCAGAAGCACGUGGGACGCAGCAGCUUCUUGCCCCAACAUGCUGCUCCAAUGCCUUCCAUGGAAACUUCAGUGAUUCAGCAAUAUUAGUAUGACUACUAAUUUAGUUCUAUCAUGUUAUUGAUUAUAUUAUAUAUAUGCAUCUACCUAUAAUAUUGCUUUAUAAAUUAGCCUCGUUGGACAAACGAGAGUUGGUUUGUUCGUAUUAAUAAUACUCCGCUUGGAUUUCUGGUUUUAUGUGGAGCAUUGAUACCAUGACGUGCUUGCUUCAAAAAAUAAGAUGUUUAUGCAUAGAGAAAUAAUAUAUUCAGUCGUGUA
Molecule: long non-coding RNA, 645 nt
Organism: Juglans microcarpa x Juglans regia
Lineage: Eukaryota; Viridiplantae; Streptophyta; Magnoliopsida; Fagales; Juglandaceae
Exons: 2
Source: RefSeq, a predicted model, not a curated record